GGAAACGAGUUAUCUGANCCUUCGGGGAANGAUAACGGCGNCNANNGNCGGACGGGUGAGUAAUGCCUAGGAAAUUGCCCUGAUGUGGGGGAUAACCAUUGGAAACGAUGGCUAAUACCGCAUAAUGCCUACGGGCCAAAGAGGGGGACCUUCGGGCCUCUCGCGUCAGGAUAUGCCUAGGUGGGAUUAGCUAGUUGGUGAGGUAAUGGCUCACCAAGGCGACGAUCCCUAGCUGGUCUGAGAGGAUGAUCAGCCACACUGGAACUGAGACACGGUCCAGACUCCUACGGGAGGCAGCAGUGGGGAAUAUUGCACAAUGGGCGCAAGCCUGAUGCAGCCAUGCCGCGUGUGUGAAGAAGGCCUUCGGGUUGUAAAGCACUUUCAGUCGUGAGGAAGGUAGUGUAGUUAAUAGCUGCAUUAUUUGACGUUAGCGACAGAAGAAGCACCGGCUAACUCCGUGCCAGCAGCCGCGGUAAUACGGAGGGUGCGAGCGUUAAUCGGAAUUACUGGGCGUAAAGCGCAUGCAGGUGGUUUGUUAAGUCAGAUGUGAAAGCCCGGGGCUCANCCUCGGAAUUGCAUUUGAAACUGGCAGACUAGAGUACUGUAGAGGGGGGUAGAAUUUCAGGUGUANCGGUGAAAUGCGUANAGAUCUGAAGGAAUACCGGUGGCGAAGGCGGCCCCCUGNACNGAUACUGACNCUCAGAUGCNAAAGCGUGGGGA
RNAcentral lists this ribosomal RNA (720 nucleotides) under Vibrio sp. HR08-12. Its description in RNAcentral is "bacterial SSU rRNA". It matches the Rfam family "Bacterial small subunit ribosomal RNA", at positions 61 to 767 of the family's 1533-position model. Lineage: Bacteria; Pseudomonadati; Pseudomonadota; Gammaproteobacteria; Vibrionales; Vibrionaceae. The record is from RNAcentral.